UACGUAGGCAGCGAGCGUUGUUCGGAAUUACUGGGCGUAAAGAGUGUGUAGGCGGUGCUCUAAGUUCGGUGUGAAAUCUCCUGGCUUAACUGGGAGGGUGCGCCGGAAACUGGAGUGCUCGAGCGUGGGAGAGGAAAGCGGAAUCCUGGUGUAGCGGUGAAAUGCGUAGAUAUCAGGAGGAACACCUGUGGUGUAGACGGCUUUCUGGACCAUAGCUGACGCUGAGACACGAAAGCGUGGGUAGCAAACAGG
RNAcentral lists this ribosomal RNA (252 nucleotides) under uncultured bacterium. RNAcentral describes it as "partial 16S ribosomal RNA". It matches the Rfam family "Bacterial small subunit ribosomal RNA", at positions 524 to 776 of the family's 1533-position model. The record is from RNAcentral.